ACGAACGCUGGCGGCGUGCUUAACACAUGCAAGUCGAACGGAAAGGCCCUGCUUUUGUGGGGUGCUCGAGUGGCGAACGGGUGAGUAACACGAGAGUAACCUGCCCUUGACUUUGGGAUAACUUCAGGAAACUGGGGCUAAUACCGGAUAGGAGCUCCUGCUGCAUGGUGGGGGUUGGAAAGUUUCGGCGGUUGGGGAUGGACUCGCGGCUUAUCAGCUUGUUGGUGGGGUAGUGGCUUACCAAGGCUUUGACGGGUAGCCGGCCUGAGAGGGUGACCGGCCACAUUGGGACUGAGAUACGGCCCAGACUCCUACGGGAGGCAGCAGUGGGGAAUAUUGCACAAUGGGCGGAAGCCUGAUGCAGCAACGCCGCGUGCGGGAUGACGGCCUUCGGGUUGUAAACCGCUUUCGCCUGUGACGAAGCGUGAGUGACGGUAAUGGGUAAAGAAGCACCGGCUAACUACGUG
This 467-nucleotide ribosomal RNA is filed under the name uncultured bacterium. RNAcentral describes it as "partial 16S ribosomal RNA". It matches the Rfam family "Bacterial small subunit ribosomal RNA", at positions 29 to 507 of the family's 1533-position model. The record is from RNAcentral.